AAAUUGAAGAGUUUGAUCAUGGCUCAGAUUGAACGCUGGCGGCAGGCCUAACACAUGCAAGUCGAGCGGUAGCACAGAGAGCUUGCUCUCGGGUGACGAGCGGCGGACGGGUGAGUAAUGUCUGGGAAACUGCCUGAUGGAGGGGGAUAACUACUGGAAACGGUAGCUAAUACCGCAUAACGUCGCAAGACCAAAGUGGGGGACCUUCGGGCCUCAUGCCAUCAGAUGUGCCCAGAUGGGAUUAGCUGGUAGGUGAGGUAACGGCUCACCUAGGCGACGAUCCCUAGCUGGUCUGAGAGGAUGACCAGCCACACUGGAACUGAGACACGGUCCAGACUCCUACGGGAGGCAGCAGUGGGGAAUAUUGCACAAUGGGCGCAAGCCUGAUGCAGCCAUGCCGCGUGUGUGAAGAAGGCCUUCGGGUUGUAAAGCACUUUCAGCGGGGAGGAAGGCGGUGAGGUUAAUAACCUCAUCGAUUGACGUUACCCGCAGAAGAAGCACCGGCUAACUCCGUGCCAGCAGCCGCGGUAAUACGGAGGGUGCAAGCGUUAAUCGGAAUUACUGGGCGUAAAGCGCACGCAGGCGGUCUGUCAAGUCGGAUGUGAAAUCCCCGGGCUCAACCUGGGAACUGCAUUCGAAACUGGCAGGCUAGAGUCUUGUAGAGGGGGGUAGAAUUCCAGGUGUAGCGGUGAAAUGCGUAGAGAUCUGGAGGAAUACCGGUGGCGAAGGCGGCCCCCUGGACAAAGACUGACGCUCAGGUGCGAAAGCGUGGGGAGCAAACAGGAUUAGAUACCCUGGUAGUCCACGCUGUAAACGAUGUCGAUUUGGAGGUUGUGCCCUUGAGGCGUGGCUUCCGGAGCUAACGCGUUAAAUCGACCGCCUGGGGAGUACGGCCGCAAGGUUAAAACUCAAAUGAAUUGACGGGGGCCCGCACAAGCGGUGGAGCAUGUGGUUUAAUUCGAUGCAACGCGAAGAACCUUACCUGGUCUUGACAUCCACAGAACUUUCCAGAGAUGGAUUGGUGCCUUCGGGAACUGUGAGACAGGUGCUGCAUGGCUGUCGUCAGCUCGUGUUGUGAAAUGUUGGGUUAAGUCCCGCAACGAGCGCAACCCUUAUCCUUUGUUGCCAGCGGUCCGGCCGGGAACUCAAAGGAGACUGCCAGUGAUAAACUGGAGGAAGGUGGGGAUGACGUCAAGUCAUCAUGGCCCUUACGACCAGGGCUACACACGUGCUACAAUGGCAUAUACAAAGAGAAGCGACCUCGCGAGAGCAAGCGGACCUCAUAAAGUAUGUCGUAGUCCGGAUUGGAGUCUGCAACUCGACUCCAUGAAGUCGGAAUCGCUAGUAAUCGUAGAUCAGAAUGCUACGGUGAAUACGUUCCCGGGCCUUGUACACACCGCCCGUCACACCAUGGGAGUGGGUUGCAAAAGAAGUAGGUAGCUUAACCUUCGGGAGGGCGCUUACCACUUUGUGAUUCAUGACUGGGGUGAAGUCGUAACAAGGUAACCGUAGGGGAACCUGCGGUUGGAUCACCUCCUUA
RNAcentral lists this ribosomal RNA (1540 nucleotides) under Klebsiella variicola. Its description in RNAcentral is "bacterial SSU rRNA". It matches the Rfam family "Bacterial small subunit ribosomal RNA". The record is from RNAcentral. Lineage: Bacteria; Pseudomonadati; Pseudomonadota; Gammaproteobacteria; Enterobacterales; Enterobacteriaceae. RNAcentral also lists the same sequence under 3 other names.